UUAAUUCUUUAAGUAAAAAAUGUUUAAAAAUCUUUUUAUCGAAGAAAGAAAACAAACGCGAAUACAAGAAACUUGAUUUAAAAGGAAAACUAAUAGUACUAAAAUCAAUCAGUGAAAAUGAUGUAUAUAGAAUCAGUGAUUUUGGAAGUAUAGCUAAAUCUGCUAAAGAAUUCUCAAGCAGCUAUUAUAGAUAAUCAAUAGAUUUCUUGCGAAUCCAGUUAAAAUAGCAGCAUGCAACAAGUUGUAUUACUCCAGUCUUUUUUGCAAUGAAAACAAAGAUUUUUGAGAUGAAAACAAAGCAUAUGUUUACUGUCUUUGGAAAUAUCGGUUAUACUAAUAGUCUGUAAUUUUUUUGAACAUUAAAACCAGCAACAAGUAAAAAAUACGUUUAAGAAAACAAAAUGUCAACAAUAAAGUCAUAUUCUAGUAGCUAAUGCUUAUAAAUUACAAAAAAAAUUAAAUGUGUAAUGCAAGAAAAACGUAGACUUGAAAAAAUUCAAUGUGUUGCAAGAAAAACGUCUAAUUAGCUACUUUUGCAUAUCAUUGUAUUUUUAUUUAGCUAAAGUAUGCGAUUAUGUUUUUUGAAACUUGUCUUCUAUAUUCAGAUAUUUUAACACUGCCAUUAGCACUAAUAUACAAAAUUCUUUCCAGUUUGAAAAUAGACGAUUACAGUUUGAGCUGUAAAUUUGAAAGCAAAUUAGUUAUGAUAAGUCAUAUGGUUCUAAUGAUGGCUGUUGGUAUUGCAAAGGAGAUGUUUGUUUUAAUAUUAGUUGCUGUUAACAAGUUUGACAAUCUUCUUUGGAACAGCUUGAUAGACGUUAUGUGAAAAUUAAUUAUAAAAUAAAUCGCAAACAUUUUUUCUAUUAGA
Hydra vulgaris (swiftwater hydra) is the source of this 868-nucleotide long non-coding RNA. RefSeq lists it as uncharacterized. NCBI's taxonomy places the organism in Eukaryota, Metazoa, Cnidaria, Hydrozoa, Anthoathecata, Hydridae. The record is from RefSeq and is a predicted model, not a curated record.